UACGUAGGGGGCAAGCGUUGUCCGGAAUCAUUGGGCGUAAAGAGCGUGUAGGCGGCCCGGUAAGUCCGCUGUGAAAGUCCAGGGCUCAACCCUGGGAUGCCGGUGGAUACUGUCGGGCUCGAGUCCGGAAGAGGAGUGUGGAAUUCCUGGUGUAGCGGUGAAAUGCGCAGAUAUCUGGAGGAACACCGGUGGCGAAGGCGGCAUCCUGGACCGGUAUUGACGCUGAGGCGCGAAAGCCAGGGGAGCAAACGGG
Molecule: ribosomal RNA, 253 nt
Filed under: uncultured bacterium
Lineage: Bacteria
Description: partial 16S ribosomal RNA
Rfam family: Bacterial small subunit ribosomal RNA
Source: RNAcentral